GACGAACGCUGGCGGCGUGCCUAAUACAUGCAAGUAGAACGCUCAGUUUAUACCGUUGCUUGCUUUUCAAUAGCCUGUGAGUUGCGAAUGGGUGGGUAAGGCGUUGGUAACCUGCCUGGUACCGGGGGUUGACACUAAGAAACGUUCGCUAAUACCGCUUAAUAUUUAUUAUUGAAUGUUAAUUGAUUCAAUGGUGUUAUUCAAUCACUACCCGAUGGUCUUGCGUUGUAUUAGCUAGUAGGUGAGGUAACGGCUCACCUAGGCGACGAUACAUAGCCGACCUGAGAGGGUGAUCGGCCACACUGGGACUGAGACACGGCCCAGACUCCUACGGGAGGCAGCAGUAGGGAAUCUUCGGCAAUGGACGAAAGUCUGUCCGAGCAACGCCGCGUGAGUGAAGAAGGUUUUCGGAUCGUAAAACUCUGUUGGUAGAGAAGAACGUGUGUGAGAGUGGAAAGUUCACACAGUGACGGUAACUUACCAGAAAGGGACGGCUAACUACGUG
Molecule: ribosomal RNA, 505 nt
Filed under: uncultured bacterium
Lineage: Bacteria
Description: partial 16S ribosomal RNA
Rfam family: Bacterial small subunit ribosomal RNA
Source: RNAcentral